This 795-nucleotide ribosomal RNA is filed under the name uncultured bacterium. RNAcentral's name for it is "bacterial SSU rRNA". It matches the Rfam family "Bacterial small subunit ribosomal RNA", at positions 8 to 814 of the family's 1533-position model. The record is from RNAcentral.
AGAGUUUGAUCCUGGCUCAAGACGACCUCUGGCGGCGUGCCUAACACAUGCAAGUCGAACGGAGUUGAAAGGAGCUUGCUUUUUUCAACUCAGUGGCGGACGGGUGAGUAACGCGUGAGUAACCUGCCUUUCAGAGGGGGAUAACGUUCUGAAAAGAACGCUAAUACCGCAUAAGAUUGUAGUUUCGCAUGGAGCAGCAAUCAAAGGAGCAAUCCGCUGAAAGAUGGACUCGCGUCCGAUUAGAUAGUUGGCGGGGUAACGGCCCACCAAGUCGACGAUCGGUAGCCGGACUGAGAGGUUGAUCGGCCACAUUGGGACUGAGACACAACCCAGACUCCUACGGGAGGCAGCAGUGAGGGAUAUUGGGCAAUGGGGGAAACCCUGACCCAGCAACGCCGCGUGAGGGAUGACGGUUUUCGGAUUGUAAACCUCUGUCCUCUGUGAAGAUAGUGACGGUAGCAGAGGAGGAAGCUCCGGCUAACUACGUGCCAGCAGCCGCGGUAAUACGUAGGGAGCAAGCGUUGUCCGGAUUUACUGGGUGUAAAGGGUGCGUAGGCGGAUUGGCAAGUCAGAAGUGAAAUCCAUGGGCUUAACCCAUGAACUGCUUUUGAAACUGUUAGUCUUGAGUGAAGUAGAGGUAGGCGGAAUUCCCGGUGUAGCGGUGAAAUGCGUAGAGAUCGGGAGGAACACCAGUGGCGAAGGCGGCCUACUGGGCUUUAACUGACGCUGAGGCACGAAAGUGUGGGUAGCAAACAGGAUUAGAUACCCUGGUAGUCCACACUGUAAACGAUGAUU